RNAcentral lists this ribosomal RNA (460 nucleotides) under uncultured bacterium. RNAcentral describes it as "partial 16S ribosomal RNA". It matches the Rfam family "Bacterial small subunit ribosomal RNA", at positions 338 to 795 of the family's 1533-position model. The record is from RNAcentral.
CCUACGGGAGGCAGCAGUGAGGAAUAUUGGUCAAUGGCCGUAAGGCUGAACCAGCCAAGUCGCGUGAAGGAAGAAGGAUCUAUGGUUUGUAAACUUCUUUUAUAGGGGAAUAAAGGUAUCCACGUGUGGAUAUUUGCAUGUACCCUAUGAAUAAGCAUCGGCUAACUCCGUGCCAGCAGCCGCGGUAAUACGGAGGAUGCGAGCGUUAUCCGGAUUUAUUGGGUUUAAAGGGUGCGUAGGUUGUUUUUUAAGUCAGCGGUGAAAGUUUGUGGCUCAACCAUAAAAUUGCCGUUGAAACUGGAAGACUUGAGUGUGUUUGAGGUAGGCGGAAUUCGUGGUGUAGCGGUGAAAUGCUUAGAUAUCACGAAGAACUCCGAUUGCGAAGGCAGCCUACUAAACUGCCACUGACAUUGAUGCUCGAAAGUGUGGGUAUCAAACAGGAUUAGAUACCCGGGUAGUC